RNAcentral lists this unclassified non-coding RNA (375 nucleotides) under uncultured Eubacteriales bacterium. Its description in RNAcentral is "contains 16S-23S intergenic spacer region". Lineage: Bacteria; Bacillati; Bacillota; Clostridia; Eubacteriales. The record is from RNAcentral.
UCCGGUUUGUCACCGGCAGUCCCUCUAGAGUGCCCACCAUAACGUGCUGGCAACUAAAGGCAAGGGUUGCGCUCGUUGCGGGACUUAACCCAACAUCUCACGACACGAGCUGACGACAACCAUGCACCACCUGUCUCCUCUGUCCCGAAGGAACUGCGCUGCUAGGCGCCAGUCAGAGGGAUGUCAAGACCUGGUAAGGUUCUUCGCGUUGCUUCGAAUUAAACCACAUGCUCCGCUGCUUGUGCGGGUCCCCGUCAAUUCCUUUGAGUUUCAGUCUUGCGACCGUACUCCCCAGGCGGAAUACUUAAUGCGUUAGCUGCGGCACCGGGCUUUGACCCCCGACACCUAGUAUUCAUCGUUUACAGCGUGGACUAC